CAUCAUCUAAUCAACAGAAAUCUUCUGGCAUGCACAGUCCAGUUUGCAAACUAUUCAGCAGAGAGGCUUUUCUAGCCUCUCCAUAAAACAGAGUAAUUAAGCAAAGCUGCUGGAGGGGCUUCCCUCCAUAGCUUCUGGAAUACUGGGAAGGGGGAACAGCGCUUGAAAAAAAAAGGCAACCUCUGGCAACCUCCCUUAGCCCUGGAAGGCUCUCUGGAACAGAAAGCGAUAAAAAAUUGCCUUCCUUUGCUGCUGCUGUUGAGCUGGUCUCGCUCCCAUUGUCGCGGUGCCAGUGCCGAAAGCCCAUCCUGCUUCCCUCGCUCUAAGUGUACUGUCCGUCCUAGAGCAGAUGCAAAGGAGGCAGUGGGACCGCUCAACUUCAGUGCCUCUCCAGCAGUCUCCGAAGUAGAAGAGCACAGCUCUCCUCACAAUAUGCUGUGGGGGAGGAGGAAGGAAGGACUUUGGCCCUGUUUGCUUGUGCUAAUUGAUGGCUUCUGUUGCAGCUAUUCACACUUUUAAAAGAUGGUAACAAGUCUACUGAUUUAGAAGCAAAGAAUAAAAACCCAACAGCCUCAGGAGUGUGUUUGGCGCAGACAAAGCUGCAUCGAAGAGCAUUUAGCAGAAGCACAGCAAGGGGCUGGGCAGAAGAAACUACCCACCUGCAAACACUGAGCUCUGCACAGAUGCACAAAAAUGCUAAAAUAUGCCUUUUUGUUGGGAUACACAGGGAUAACCUCCUCUGCAGCUUGCAAGUCAGGGCUCAGCCCUGCCACUGGCCUGCUCUGUGCUCCACCUCCCUGCCUCACCUUGCUCAGCUGUGGUGGCUUCUGCCUCCUUUAUAAGGCACAUUCUAUGACUCUGACUUUAGUGCUCUCCAGGUGGGAAAUAUCUUUCUUCAUGUAGCCUUCUCUCUGUGUGCUGAGUCUCCUGUUUGGAGAAAGGUUCUGCAUUCCCACUCUCCUACCUUUUUCGUUUCGGGCAGGCAUUGUCUUCUCCUGCUGGGAGAGCACUGUACCUUGCUUAGCAGUUUACAUGCAUUUGGGAGAUUUGAAGACUGAAGUGGAGUGGCUCUAACCUCACCAUGUCCACCUGAACAUCCAAGCAGUGCUGCAGAACUGCAUCCCCCUUUGCCGCCCUCCUGCCUCUCCUCUCCCAGGUUUACCCAGCUCCAGACAACAUUGCCUUGAGAUGCACAUAAUUUUUUCACUAACUGGAAAUAGGAAUCUUACUCUAUCCAUUAGUUACUGUAUAUGCGGUUUGUAUAUAUAAUAUUUAUAUUUUUCCCCAAAGUUGUGAAAUAUAUAAAAUAUAAUUCCUCUAGCUGAGAGCUCAUCAUUCCCAUGACAAGGUGCAAUCAAUAAAUUAUGCACCACUUGUGGUUAUUCUGCAUGUCAACUCAUAUUUCCAUGUCGCUGUCCUGACUGUUACUGAGUGUUUGUGUUGUCGUACCUUUCCACCUCCUCAGUGUUGAUUUAGGAGUUAUUAUUCUGGGCUCAUAGUAACUGCAAGAAAAUCAAGUUCCAAGUGUUUCUGCCAAAAGAAGGAAAUGAAAUGAGCAAGUCAACAGAAAAUUCCACUUGUCAAACACCAUUUGCUUACGACUACGGUUUUGUUACGGAAACUUGCAUUCGGACAAGUUACCCAAAGGAAACAAUUCGCCUUUGCAGUGGGAUAACCCCCAUGCCCAGCAAGGACUCUUGGUCGCGACAGCUGUGGUCCUCAAAUGAGCGAACAGGAAAAAAAACCAAAGCCACUUCUGACACUUACAAAUUAUAUCUCCUGAAUAAUGCAUGACUCAUCCAGAUUGGCUACAGGAGGGGGGUAUGGGGGGGAUGCUUUUUCAAUGGACAACCAGACGGAUAAGGAUUGUAUUAUAAGAAGAGUUUGACAUACCAAGAAGGGAAAAAAAAAAAGCAAAAAAAAAAGCCCAAGUACUCACACACACUUCGAGAUUGACUGUCAAAUCAUUUCACAUCUGUACCUAAAGCAAACAGACAUAAUGCUAACAGCUUGCUGGAGCUCAGAAAUGCCACCCACUAAUCAGUCCACCUGUGGAAUUCUCAGUCCAUCUUGCAAGUCGUGUACCCGAUUGCCAAGACGCCUGACAAGAAAAUGUAUAUUAAAACGUUGAGUAAGACUAGAAAUACAAUGUGGUGUAGUAUAAACAGAAUGCAUUUGCUGGGCGGGAAAACAGAGAUGCCUUUUAAUUCCUCUCGCCGUGACCCGGUGCCGCUCGCUCCUGCCUUCUCUGACGCCGGAUGGUGGGGACUGUUCACUACCUGAAAGGCACGUUCACCUCCUGUGCAUGAUUGUGUCUCCCUCUGCUUUUGUGCAAAAGAAUAAAUAAAUAAAUAAAUAACUACCCCCUCCCUGAA
This is a long non-coding RNA of Pseudopipra pipra, 2375 nucleotides long. RefSeq lists it as uncharacterized. The transcript is spliced from 2 exons. NCBI's taxonomy places the organism in Eukaryota, Metazoa, Chordata, Aves, Passeriformes, Pipridae. The record is from RefSeq and is a predicted model, not a curated record.